RNAcentral lists this long non-coding RNA (6742 nucleotides) under Ananas comosus (pineapple). RNAcentral describes it as "long non-coding RNA (ACOM_LNC001917)". Lineage: Eukaryota; Viridiplantae; Streptophyta; Magnoliopsida; Poales; Bromeliaceae. The record is from RNAcentral.
GAGUGAAUCAUCCGCGGAGUACCGCGUCAAGUCAGGCUCGAGGUGAAGGACAUCUCACAAGCACCUCAGCCUUAAGUCCACGCGACACUAGGUCCAUCACAGGGAGAGGAGAACCGUCGAUCCCCGUGAUCCUAAGUCGCUCAAGCUUAACGGGCGAGGAGAACCGUCAAACCCGUUGAGCUCAUACCGGGAGAGGAGAACCGUCGAUCCCGUUGAAUCACUACCGGGAGAGGAGAACCGUCGAUCCCGUAGUUCUGAUUCUAUUUAUGCCAACAGCACCAUUCCUAUGGAUUCCGAAAACCACUUUCACAACUUAAGGGUUUAUUCACUUACCCUAUGUUGACGACCUUCCUAGGUCUAUACCAUUCACUUUCUAGUGGUCCUACUACCACUAUAAUUCAUAACUUAGUUCAAUUUUACUAAGUGUCACUAUACAUCAUAACCUAGGUUCAUUUACACUAGGCUUUAUGUUCUUUUCACCUAGAUUUCGACUCUAGGUUUACUAAUUCAACCUAUGUUCAAUGACACUAGGUUCAUUUCAUGUCCAACCUACAUUUAAUAACACUAGGUUCAUUUCAUGUCCAACCUAUGUUUAAUAACACUAGGUUCAUUUCACUCGAUCUAUUUAUUAUCCUAGUUAUUCACGCCUAGGAUUAUAAUUUUCACAUUUUCAUUUACUUUGUCACCGUCAAGAUUUCUACUCAACUAGAGUUGUCGAUUUAUACCCAAUUCUUAUGGAUUUAACAUGUCCACAAUAUGUCAAUGUUCAUACAAGCUUUAGCCUUAACCAUAAUGUAUUCAUAUGCACCUAGCAUUCACUUUCAUAUAUGUCGAGUCAUAUGCAUCUAGCAUUCACAAUUCAUGCAUUCAUAUGUAUCUAGCAUGUUUAUCACAUGUCAAUAUUCAUUCAUCAUCCAAUAUGAUUAUCAAUAUAUUCGUAUGCAUGUUCCAAUGGUAAAUAACUUUACGUGAUUCAUGCUUUCAUCCUAUCAAUCAUAGUCUACACUAAACAUAUAUGCGUCAAUGAAAAUCAUUCAUUGCUUUGGCAUGGAAGCGACCUAAUCGCUUCGGUGAAGCACAACCCACCUUUACUUGACACCAUAAUGUGAGAAAUCCACUUCCCACACUUUCCCGAGAAUCGCAACCCGCGCUCCCGACAAUUGUAGCCGAAAAUGUCCUUUUUGGCGAUAUCUUCGCGUAGGCUCGACGGAUUGCCGAACCGACUUCGCCAACGCGUUCGUUUUACCCUCAAUUAGGUUUGUACGCGUUCAAUUCCACGUUAGCACUUUAAUCCUGCAAAAGUGUAUUAUCGAGCUUAGGUUCUACAUACAUUGUUUCCAUAUAAUUUCACAAAAUACAUAGAGUAAUUCAACUCAUUCCAUCUCUCUCUCUUUCUCAUUUUCUCUCUUUCAUUCCUUCUUAUUCUUUUCUUUCAUUUCUUUUCUUUUCCUCUCUUCUUUUUCUUUUUCUUUCCUACUUUCUUUCUUGCUUUCUUUCUCUCUUUCUUGCUGCCCCUACAGCAGCAACAAUUUGCUGCUACUGCUGGGCAACCUGCAGCAGCAAUCUGCUGCUGCUGCUGAGCUACUGCUGCAGCUGAGCUGCUAACUGCUGUUGCUGCUCCUGAGCUGCUGCUGCUGCUGCUGCUAAACUGCUGCUGCUGCUUCUACUACUGCUGCUGCUGCUGAGCUGAGCUGCUGCCGCUGAGCUGAGCUGCUGCUCCAGCAGCAGCUUGCUGCUGCUGCUACAGUACUCGCAGCAGCAACCUGCUACUGCUGCUACAACCAGCAGCAGCAGGGAGAGGGGUGAGAGGGAGAGAGAUAACAAGGAGAGGGAGAGAACUAGAAAUCCUACCUCUUUUUCUUCUUCUUCUUCUUCUUCUUCUUCUUCUUCUUUUCUCUUCUUUUCUCCUUCUCUCUCAACGUACAGGAGGAUGAAGAGAGGAUAAGCGUGGAGGAAAUUCCCUGGCAGGUUAGUGGAAAUCCACUAAGCAAUGUGAUAAUUACCAUAACACCCCUCACAAUAACCUUAAUUAAAUAUGUUUCCAAUUUAGAAUUUGAUACUUUUCGCCGGAACCCUCUGAAUAUCCGUUUGAGCUCAAAUUUGACAGUCAUGUUCGGUUUUACUUAACUCGAAGAAAGAAAUUUUCAUUUUUCAGUUUCGACCCUGUUUGGUCACCGAAAGCUCCACCGAACAACAUUUCUAACAGAUAGCAGUCGGAUUUUAUUUUUCACCUUCCAGCUGUCAGAAUGGUAUGAAACUUUAAAUCUAGCCUCCAAAAAAUAAUCCUGACAUAUCCUCCAGUUUUCAUAAUUUUCUGACACCGUGCAUUUUCUGCUAAAAUAUCAGCCCCGUUCUUUACAGAAAAUUCUAAAUCUUCUGUUUUCGCUCCGAUUUCAACACGAGUCAUUCCAGACUUAUAUUUUACACCCUUAAGUCCAAUAAAAAUAGUAUCUCACGCCAUUUUUAUUCACACUUAAUUUUAUAUUAUUUUGCUCACUUUAAUCAACAGGAACCUCAUAGUACGAUAAUUUUCCUUCGAAGUCGUUUCGCGCCCAAUUUGCGCCGAAAUACUCAUUUAUCUUCGGAAUUCAUUCCCACGCAUCCAAAAUCUCUCGAGGAAGAUACAAAACCAGCUCCAACCCCACUUUGAUUCAACAGAUCAAAGUUGACAUCGCAACUCCCAAAUUCCAUAUAUUACAAUCUCCCCCUGUUAACCAAAGUUUCGUCCGCGAAACUUAGAUACUUAUCUCUUCUUAUUUACCCUACGAAUGGAAAUAAGUUCCAACAAUCCUCAAUAUAGAAUCAUAUCAUUCCCUAGCUUCUGAAUUUCAUUCUAUGCUACCCUGAUUCCUCCGAAUCAGUCUCUACGAACACUUUGUUCGCGUUUCCAAUCUCAGCUCGUCAUCGAUGCUUAUCUUAGCAAUUCUGACUAAAUAAUCCACAGGACCGAGCCUUCGCUCUCACGGUCCCUAUACACUAUCCUUCACUUGGACAUGUUCGAAACACUCACUUCCAAUGCACACGGGUAAACUACUUGUCUCAAUUACCACAGAUCUGUUCGCAAAUCGCUGAUCCGAUGUAGGCCUAUCACUUAACGUCUCUCGCUCGCAAGCGUAGACCCAAUUAUCACGAGACACAGUUCUCACUUGAGAUAUCGCAUACCUGCUCCAACUGGGAGCAAUUUAAUUUGCUAGGGUUAGGUCAAAUCUGCCUUUCCGGCCUAGUACCAACAACACGAUCCAAUACAUGACCUACCACGUUACCGAUCCAAGCUCGGACUACCGUCCUGACCAAACCUCUGUCACACACGGCUAACUGCGCUUGCCGAAAUGGCUCCAGGCUCUGUAGAUCACAAGUGGUCCAGGCACGGAUUGUCUUCAAGCACUAUCCACAAUUGUCGUCUUACACGACGCGUGCUACCGAGCGACACACAACACUACCAGCUCCUAAGCACCUAGUGCGAGCGACCAGCCCUACGAGUGACCUCUAGCACGCUUCACACCUAGCAACGCUAAAGUGCUACUGCCAACACACUCACGGCUGAAUCAAAUCCGUACUCUACGAGCACCUAUGCGCUCGAGCGCUCUAUAUGUCUCUAUUGCGUGUCAUACUAAGCCCAGCAUCAGGCAACUUUUGCCUAUGCACACCGACUACACGAGCACGACCCACCUACCUCAAUUCGAGGUACUACUAGGUCCACGUGCACGUACCUGACCACUAACCGAUCAUUUCCUCAACAGUGAUUCUAUUUUUACUGUUCGAUCUACCGGAACAAUCUGCAAAACGCUCGGUCUCACAAGAGUUUCACGAACAUCGCGACUAGACUCUCGCAAUCAGCAACUCGCAUUAGUGUUGAGAGUUGGUCAACCAUUACCAUCUCUACCAUGAGUCUCACCUCUUAUCCACAGGCUAUCACCAGCGAUUUGCUAGAGCCCUCAGACUCUCUACCUGUUCCAGCAGGUAUUACAUUCCCCCACACAAGCAUACUCGGGUAUCAACACUUAUCUGUUCACUUGAUCACUACUAUAUUAAGGCAUAAAUAGUAGGGACAAUCACCUAAUCAAUGCAUGCAAUGCACCAAUUUACAUCAUAUUGAAAUACAUAAUUGCUUGAAUUAAUUCAUACCUGCCACAUUACGAUCAGUUGCAGCAGGAUCCUCAACCUGGUUCGCGUAUCCAUGGCCACUUGCCGCCAGCUGCGAACCCCGUGGUUGCCUUAUCCUCAUUCGCUUUCCAGACCGUGCCGCAGGUGGCACACCUGCAAGUUGUCUCGGAGAGGAAAAGGCCGUCGCCAGUAUCCUAUCACCUUGCGAACACUCAUAACCUAGGUGCUCCGAUUGUCCACAUCGAGUGCACUUUCCUUCUCGCUGCACGCAACGUCGUGCCCAAUGGGAACCGCCACAAAUCACACAUCUUGGAGAUGAUCGGGUAGAGGACGAUGUCGAGUGGCGUCCAGAACUUGACUGUUCAUCUUACUUAUUUGUUAAUGACCUAAUCCCUCCUUGCUUAUAUUCCUCAAACUCGUGCUCUUCACGCACGAAAACAUUGCCUUGCUCUAUCCAUAGGGCCCGAUCCAAGACUUCAGCAAAAGUUGGCAACUUAAGAUUAUGCACCGCUUUGAAAAUAUCAGGCCGAAGUCCUCGUACAAAACAAUCAGCUCGAUCCUUAUCACCUUGUACCACGUUCGGAACACAGCUCACGAUACGGGAAAAUUCCCGUUCGUAUUCUCUCACAGAGCGAUCUCUCUGCCGCAAUUUCUGAAACCUGUCUGGAAGCUUCCUCUUUUCACUAUCGGGGAAAUAAGUUGAACGUAUUAAUUCCCGAAACUCUUCCCAAAUCAUAGAAGGAAGACUAGGCGAUCGAUUCCGUUUGAUGUCUUUCCACCACACCUUCGCUGACCGUUGCAAACAAUGUACGGCUAAGUGUACCUUGUCCUGCUCCACAGUGUACAAAUCCUCAAACAAAGUCUCCAUGGAGUCGAUCCACAACUCUACGGUCCACGGGUCUAUAUCCUCUCCAUCAAAAGUAGGCGGAUCAAACUUCUUAAAGGUCAUUAGAGCCACCAAAGCACGCUCCCUCUCCGCCUCCACCUCUGAAGUACUAAAAGUCGGAUUGCCCGACCCAGACAGAAACACCUCCGCCGCAACUCCCGGCCGUACUCGACGGGCCGCAACUGGUGCAGUCACCAACUGAUCAACCGUCUCCUGAAGUCUUUUAAUCCGCUCUUCUUGGCGCAGAGCGGCGUCUUGCUGACGCUGCACUACAUCCGCUUGUUGCCUCACCACUCCCACGAGUGUGGCCAACUGAUCGCAAAGCUCCAAGUCUCCGCUCGCCUCGGUCUGCUCAGGGACACCAUUUGUCCCACCCCGCGCCGUUCUAGACGAAGAUCACCUACGCGGUGCCAUCUUUCCCUGAAACACGACAACUCAGUUAAUACCAACUCAAAUCGGGCGAAAGUCAUGCAAGGGCGUCUAUUCUCAUCACUCGGUUUCAUGUUGUGUCGACCCAACAUGAACUCACUUGGCUGAGAAUAAACUGAACCUUGAAUCUACCUCUAAUAUCCGUCUUAGAGGUUUACUAAACUUGACCCAAUCGAUUUAUCUUUCGCCACAUGUCACAAGUCCUCGUCUCUCACGAAUAUAAAUCCUUACGGUUUACUAUCCUAGGUCUCCUAGGUCCAUCUAAACCGUUUCUAUUACUCUUUUAUGCUCUGAUACCAUUAAAUCUGUCACGCCUCGAGCUCCGCCUAUUUGGUCGGAUUCGGCCACGCCGACAGACCGCCGAACGGACAGAGCUUUCCCUGUACGUUAUAGGCGUCACAAUCUAUACAAUGCAAUACAAGAGGUUCCAACCAGGAACUGUAUUCAAACACAGAUUGCAUAAGUAUCAAAAACAUAAAAUGCUAACUAUGCUAUUACAAGCAUUCAUCUCAAGAUUUUACAUUUACAAUAUUACAUAAGCCUUUAAAUUAUCACAAUUUAUACAAAUUUGAUACAAGUUUGUUUCUUUUUUUCAUUCUUAUACUCUGAGCUAGACUGCUUCAGGGUACUGCUAUCUCUGGUCUCGGUGGUAGGGCGCUAUCUACGGAGCUACGCCCUUUCUUCGCGCCGCCGCGCCGCUCGCGUGUGAACCUGUACCCCCAAAAACAACACGGGGGUGAGAACUAUAUAAAUAUAGUUCCCAGUGGGUACGGCCACCCAAGGAAAGAGCUCGACCCACCAAGUCCAAAGGAGGCAGUGUAACAUGUUAGUCCAACAAAUAAUAAUCACAGAUAAUUCAUGCAGAUAUUAAAACAUGUAUGCCUCAAGAUAUGCAAUAUGCCAAUUAUGCAACAAUAUAAAAGUAGAUCUACUGAUCCUACUUUCUAUCUCGCUAUCCAUAGCUCAAAUCACACUAGCUUCUAAGGUUUUAUCUACCUUAAUCAAGCUAUUCACCCGACUCGGCCUCGAGUGAAUCAUCCGCGGAGUACCGCGUCAAGUCAGGCUCGAGGUGAAGGACAUCUCACAAGCACCUCAGCCUUAAGUCCACGCGACACUAGGUCCAUCACAGGGAGAGGAGAACCGUCGAUCCCCGUGAUCCUAAGUCGCUCAAGCUUAACGGGCGAGGAGAACCGUCAAACCCGUUGAGCUCAUACCGGGAGAGGAGAACCGUCGAUCCCGUUGAAUCACUACCGGGAGAGGAGAACCGUCGAUCCCGUAGUUCUGAUUCUAUUUAUGCCAACAGCACCAUUCCUAUGGAUUCCG